Molecule: ribosomal RNA, 469 nt
Filed under: uncultured Verrucomicrobiota bacterium
Lineage: Bacteria; Pseudomonadati; Verrucomicrobiota
Description: bacterial SSU rRNA
Rfam family: Bacterial small subunit ribosomal RNA
Source: RNAcentral
UUUGAUCCUGGCUCAGAACGAACGCUGGCGGCGUGGAUAAGACAUGCAAGUCGAACGAGAUUUUCCGUUGUAGCAAUACGAUGGAAAGUCUAGUGGCGAACGGGUGCUUAACACGUGGGCAACCUGCCGAGAAGUGGGGGAUAGCUCGCCGAAAGGCGAAUUAAUACCGCAUGUGAUUAGAGUGGACAUCCAUUCGAAAUUAAAGUCGGGGCAACCUGACGCUUCUUGUGGGGCCCGCGGCCUAUCAGCUAGUUGGUGAGGUAACAGCUCACCAAGGCUUUGACGGGUAGCUGGUCUGAGAGGACGACCAGCCACACUGGGACUGAGACACGGCCCAGACACCUACGGGUGGCAGCAAUCGAGAAUUUUUGACAAUGGGGGAAACCCUGAUCGAGCGACGCCGCGUGGAAGAUGAAGGUCUUCGGAUUGUAGACUCCUGUCUUUGGGGAACGAUGCGUGACGCUUAACU